AACAAGAGACGAACAGUUAGUGCUGAUUUUCAUUUGCAUAAAUUUUCAUAUAUUUUAGUGAAAAUAAUAGCGGGAGCCGAGGAGUGCUCCUGCUCAGUUGAGGCAGAGGAAAGAAAAUCUUAGGGAGCACCGAGUCGUAGGAAAGGGAGAUAACCGUUUACAGGCUCCGUGUGAACAAUGUGAAGCUAUUUCCCUUUUUCUUGGACACAAGCAGAGCCACAGUCCCCUGGCAACACACACACACACACACACACACACACACACACACACACACACACAAAACUUUGGUCUUCCUACAGUAUGACACUCCUCCUUGUCCCCCAUCCUCCCCCUGGUGCACAACCUCUGGAGAGCAUUUCAGGACUGUCGAACACCAAACACCGGAUAAAGUAAAAGCUUGUGUAGCAGAUGUUGCAAAACUAUUUGACGAAGUACAUGUCAUCGCUGUCCCGUGAAAACCAUGUGUCCCAAUGUGGUGAUUUUGAAUUGUUCAGAUAGCAGAUAGUUUAGUUGAGGUGUCCUAAAAAGUUCAUUUAUGGAGAGAAUUCAUCGACUUUUGAACCGUACUUUGGUCACAAAGAUAGGUGUUUUGCAGAGGACAGAGACAAUGCAUUUUCUUGACAUUGUAAGAAAAAUAAAAGGAAAUAAAUGUCACUGAUCUGACUGCAGAACACCAAUAAUGUAUGUUUAUGGCUGUCUGAUUAAUCAAUAUAUAAUAAUAAAAACAGAACAACAGAAGAA
Dicentrarchus labrax (European seabass) is the source of this 741-nucleotide long non-coding RNA. RefSeq lists it as uncharacterized. The transcript has 3 exons. NCBI's taxonomy places the organism in Eukaryota, Metazoa, Chordata, Actinopteri, Moronidae. The record is from RefSeq and is a predicted model, not a curated record.